RNAcentral lists this transfer RNA (73 nucleotides) under Camelus bactrianus (Bactrian camel). It matches the Rfam family "tRNA". From Rfam's summary of the family: Transfer RNA (tRNA) molecules are approximately 80 nucleotides in length. Their secondary structure includes four short double-helical elements and three loops (D, anti-codon, and T loops). The record is from Rfam by way of RNAcentral. Lineage: Eukaryota; Metazoa; Chordata; Mammalia; Artiodactyla; Camelidae. RNAcentral also lists the same sequence under 2 other names.
GAGGGUAAAGCUCAACUGGUAGAGUGCUUGCUUAGCAUGCAUGAGGUCCUGGGUUCAAUCCCCAGUACCUCCU